GACGAACGCUGGCGGCGUGCUUAACACAUGCAAGUCGAACGGAAAGGCGCUGCUCUUGUGGGGUGGUGGGGAGGAGAGGGGGAGAGGAAAAUGUGAGGAAAGUGACCUGGACUUUGGGAUAAGAUAAGGAAACGGGGGCGAAGAUAGUAUAGGAGCUCCUGGGGCUGGGGGGGGGUGGGAAAGGUUCGGCGGUUGGGUCGGGAGGCGCGGGUUAUCAGCUUUUUGGUGGGGUAGUGGCUUACCAAGGCUUUGAAGGGUAGGCGGCCUGACAGGGUGGCCGGCCCCGUUCGGACUGAGAUACGGGCCAGCCUCCUACGGUAGGCAGCAGUGGGGAAUAUUGCAAAGUGGGCGGGCGCCUGAUGCAGCAACGCCGCUCGCGGGAUGACGCCCUUCCGGUUGUGAACCGCUUUCGCCUGUUACGAAGCGUGAGUGACGGUAAUGGGUAAAGAAGCACCGGCUAACUACGUG
Molecule: ribosomal RNA, 468 nt
Filed under: uncultured bacterium
Lineage: Bacteria
Description: partial 16S ribosomal RNA
Rfam family: Bacterial small subunit ribosomal RNA
Source: RNAcentral